UACAGGGGGUGCAAACGUUGCUCGGAAUCAUUGGGCGUAAAGCGCACGUAGGCGGUUCGUUAUGUCGGAUGUGAAAGCCCUUGGCUUAACCGAGGAAGUGCAUCCGAAACUGGCGAGCUAGAGUACUAAAGAGGAUCGCGGAAUUCCCGGUGUAGAGGUGAAAUUCGUAGAUAUCGGGAGGAACACCGGUGGCGAAGGCGGCAUCCUGGACCGGCAUUGACGCUGAGGAGCGAAAGCCAGGGGAGCAAACGGG
Molecule: ribosomal RNA, 253 nt
Filed under: uncultured bacterium
Lineage: Bacteria
Description: partial 16S ribosomal RNA
Rfam family: Bacterial small subunit ribosomal RNA
Source: RNAcentral